UCGACUUUCGGAGAGUUUAGAUCGGUUUGCAAGAUCUGGAUGAACAAUUAUGGAACAAUAUAUCGAGACAGGAAAAAUCGCUUAAAACUUAGUUCGCUAGACUAUCCGCCUAGGUUUUACGUUUCCUAAAGUUCUAUGGCAGCCUCAAAGUAAUUUCCUACGAAAAUUCCAAGUCUGAUUUCAAAAAUUUCAAGUCGGAAAUACCUUAGUUCUCUCGAAGAUGCAGUUUUGUCCCUUCUCAGUUUUGCGUGCUCAUUUCCGUUUCCUAUUCUCGUGUAUGUUCGCCAUUUCCGGUAUUGGUGUUUAUCCUUUGAAACUUGACAUUUAUCUUCCGAACUUGACUGUUAUCUUCUCCUUAGAUAAGACGUCGAUUUUUGUAAAAUGGUUCAACGUAAUCGUAUAGUUAAGGCGGCUAAGGUGUUAAGUUAACCAUUGCCGUUUUAUACGAUUAAUCUGAAUCCAUGCGAGAAAAUAGGUCUUUGCGGUUUUUUCUUUUUUUUUUAUAUCGUAAAGUCUCAAUGGUAACUUCAAUCGAGGAUGGAGGUAGGGUGAGCAUAAACAAGUCAAGGAGUUUAAGAUGAGGUUUACUUGUUUUUGUCGUAAAAUCUCAACGGAAACUCCGAUUGAGACGAAACGAAAAGCGUUUCGAGGAGAAUUCAAAGGAGAACGCAAAGGAGGACCCCUUUGAGGCCUGACAGGUCGCUAUAGCGAGUGAGGAUGUCAUCUCGGUCGCUAUAGCGAGUGGAAGGGAGCCGAGACGAGUCCCACUUGUUUUCGUCGUAAAAUCUCAACGGAAACUCCGAUUGAGACGAAACGAAAAGCGUUUCGAAG
Molecule: long non-coding RNA, 831 nt
Filed under: Brassica rapa (field mustard)
Lineage: Eukaryota; Viridiplantae; Streptophyta; Magnoliopsida; Brassicales; Brassicaceae
Description: long non-coding RNA (BRAP_LNC004405)
Source: RNAcentral